This 253-nucleotide ribosomal RNA is filed under the name uncultured bacterium. Its description in RNAcentral is "partial 16S ribosomal RNA". It matches the Rfam family "Bacterial small subunit ribosomal RNA", at positions 524 to 776 of the family's 1533-position model. The record is from RNAcentral.
UACGUAGGGGGCAAGCGUUGUCCGGAUUUAUUGGGCGUAAAGCGCGUGUAGGCGGCCAUACAGGUCCGUUGUGAAAACUCGAGGCUUAACCUCGAGACGUCGAUGGAAACCGUAUGGCUAGAGUCCGGAAGAGGAGAGUGGAAUUCCUGGUGUAGCGGUGAAAUGCGCAGAUAUCAGGAAGAACACCAAUGGCGAAAGCAGCUCUCUGGGACGGUACUGACGCUGAGACGCGAAAGCGUGGGGAGCGAACAGG